UCCGGAGUUUCUCCGGCAGUCCCCCAUGAGUGCUCGGCACUACCCGGUGGCAACAUAGGGCGGGGGUUGCGCUCGUUGCGGGACUUAACCCAACACCUCACGGCACGAGCUGACGACAGCCAUGCAGCACCUGUGCAGGCUCCCGAAGGAGCGCCGUGUUUCCACGGCUUUACCCUGCAUGUCAAGCCCUGGUAAGGUUCUUCGCGCUGCGUCGAAUUAAGCCACAUGCUCCGCCGCUUGUGCGGGCCCCCGUCAAUUCCUUUGAGUUUCAGUCUUGCGACCGUACUCCCCAGGCGGGGUGCUUAAUGCGUUAGCUGCGGCACGGAAGGCGUCGAUAGCCUCCCACACCUAGCACCCAUCGUUUACGGCUGGGACUAC
RNAcentral lists this unclassified non-coding RNA (378 nucleotides) under uncultured bacterium. Its description in RNAcentral is "contains 16S-23S intergenic spacer region". The record is from RNAcentral.